RNAcentral lists this ribosomal RNA (253 nucleotides) under uncultured bacterium. Its description in RNAcentral is "partial 16S ribosomal RNA". It matches the Rfam family "Bacterial small subunit ribosomal RNA", at positions 524 to 776 of the family's 1533-position model. The record is from RNAcentral.
UACAGAGGUCCCAAGCGUUGUUCGGAUUCACUGGGCGUAAAGGGGGCGUAGGUGGUGAGGUAAGUCCGAUGUGAAAGCUCCGAGCUCAACUCGGAAAUUGCAUUAGAAACUACCUUGCUAGAGGGUUGGAGGGGGGACUGGAAUUCUCGGUGUAGCAGUGAAAUGCGUAGAUAUCGAGAGGAACACCAGUGGCGAAGGCGAGUCCCUGGACAACUCCUGACACUGAGGCACGAAAGCUAGGGGAGCAAACGGG